Molecule: long non-coding RNA, 227 nt
Organism: Amphimedon queenslandica
Lineage: Eukaryota; Metazoa; Porifera; Demospongiae; Haplosclerida; Niphatidae
Exons: 2
Source: RefSeq, a predicted model, not a curated record
AAUAUCUAUGAAUCAAGUAGUGAGAACUGAAAAGCAAAAACUAAAAGAGCUCCGAAAAUUAAAAAAGAGGAGAAUAUGAACAAGCAGAAAACAAUUUAUUGAGGUAGCUAGAUGCUAAACCCCUUUUCCAUCAUGAGGGAUGGAACAAGCUAAUUUAAAGUUUGUACGGCUUUGGUGAAUCACUUGUUGUAGGAGCACAAGUCACUUGAUCUAAUUAAAUUAAAUUG